Molecule: ribosomal RNA, 539 nt
Filed under: Macrobdella mimicus
Lineage: Eukaryota; Metazoa; Annelida; Clitellata; Hirudinida; Hirudinidae
Description: partial 28S ribosomal RNA
Rfam family: Eukaryotic large subunit ribosomal RNA
Source: RNAcentral
CCCACCCACGGACCAAGGAGUCUAACACGUGCGCGAGUCGCAGGGUAGUACGAAACCCGAAGGCGCAACGAAAGUGAACCUUUUCUUACGAAUCGGUAGGUGGGAUCCCGGACCGAAUCCCGCUCGCGGGAAGAAUGGGCGCACCACCGGCCUGUCUCGGCCGCGACGUCGGCGAGGCGGAGCAAGAGCGUACGCGUUGGGACCCGAAAGAUGGUGAACUAUGCCUGAGCAGGAUGAAGCCAGAAGAAAUUCUGGUGGAGGUCCGCAGCGAUUCUGACGUGCAAAUCGAUCGUCAAACUUGGGUAUAGGGGCGAAAGACUAAUCGAACCAUCUAGUAGCUGGUUCCCGUCGAAGUUUCCCUCAGGAUAGCUGGCGCUCAUUGGAUAAGCAGUUUUAUCCGGUAAAGCGAAUGAUUAGAGGCCUUGGGGACGUACAGACCUCAACCUAUUCUCAAACUUUAAAUGGGUAAGACGUCCGUCUCGCUUGAUUGGAGUCGGGCUGUUCGAAUGCGAGUGCCAAGUGGGCCAUUUUUGGUAAGC